GGUUAAGUUAACAAGGGCGCAUGGUGAAUGCCUUGGCACUAGGAGCCGAUGAAGGACGGGACUAACACCGAUAUGCUUCGGGGAGCUGUACGUAAGCUAUGAUCCGGAGAUUUCCGAAUGGGGCAACCCAGCAGUUUUAAUCAACUGUUACCACUAGAUGAAUUCAUAGUCUAGUUGGAGGUAAACGCUGUGAACUGAAACAUCUCAUUAGCAGCAGGAAUAUAAAGAAAUUUCGAUUCCCUAAGUAGCGGCGAGCGAACGGGGAACAGCCCAAACCAAAGUGCUUGCACUUUGGGGUUGUAGGACUGAACAUUUGAGUUACCAAAGAACUUGAUAGUCGAAGGAUUUGGGAAAAUCCGCCAUAGAUGGUGAUAGCCCAGUAGAUUAAAUCAAAUUCUCUCAGUUCAGGAUCCUGAGUACGGCGGAACACGUGAAAUUCCGUCGGAAUCCGGGAGGACCAUCUCCCAAGGCUAAAUACUACCUAGUGACCGAUAGUGAACCAGUACCGUGAGGGAAAGGUGAAAAGCACCCCGGGAGGGGAGUGAAAUAGUUCCUGAAACCAUGUGCCUACAAUAAGUCAGAGCGCGUUAAUGCGUGAUGGCGUGCCUUUUGUAGAAUGAACCGGCGAGUUAUGAUCCCGUGCAAGGUUAAGACUAAAAAGUCGGAGCCGUAGCGAAAGCGAGUCUGAAAUGGGCGUUUUGAGUACGAGGUUAUAGACCCGAAACCAGGUGACCUAUCCAUGUCCAGGUUGAAGGUGCGGUAAAACGCACUGGAGGACCGAACCCGUGUAAGUUGAAAAUUGCUGGGAUGAGGUGUGGAUAGCGGUGAAAUUCCAAACGAACUUGGAGAUAGCUGGUUCUCUCCGAAAUAGCUUUAGGGCUAGCCUCGGAAUUAGGAUCAUGGAGGUAGAGCACUAUUUGGACUAGGGGCCCGUCUUGGGUUACUGAAUUCAGAUAAACUCCGAAUGCCAUUGAUUCAUAUCCGGGAGUCAGACGAUGAGUGAUAAGAUCCACCGUCGAAAGGGGAACAGCCCAGACCAUCAGUUAAGGUCCCUAAAUGUAUGCUAAGUGGAAAAGGAUGUGGAGUUGCAUAGACAACUAGGAUGUUGGCUCAGAAGCAGCCACCAUUUAAAGAGUGCGUAAUAGCUCACUAGUCGAGUGAUCCUGCGCCGAAAAUGUACCGGGGCUAAGCAUACUACCGAAACCAUGGAUGCGACCAUUAGGUCGCGUGAUAGGAGAGCGUUCUAAGGGCGGUGAAGCAAGAUCGUGAGGACUUGUGGAGCGCUUAGAAGUGAGAAUGCCGGUAUGAGUAGCGAAAGAUAGGUGAGAAUCCUAUCCACCGAAUGACUAAGGUUUCCUGGGGAAGGCUCGUCCUCCCAGGGUUAGUCGGGACCUAAGUCGAGGCCGAGAGGCGUAGACGAUGGAUAACAGGUUGAGAUUCCUGUACUAGUUAAGUGCGUUUGAGCAAUGGAGGGACGCAGGAGGCUAAGAUGUGCAUUCUGUUGGAUUAGAAUGUCCAAGCAGUAAGUCUUGUGAAGAGUCAAAUGCUUUUCACUUUAAGGACAAGCUGUGAUGGGGAGCGAAAUUUAGUAGCGAAGCGUCUGAUGUCACACUGCCGAGAAAAGCUUCUAGUGAGUACUUAACUACCCGUACCGCAAACCGACACAGGUAGUCGAGGAGAGAAUCCUAAGGUGAGCGAGUGAACUCUCGUUAAGGAACUCGGCAAAAUGACCCCGUAACUUCGGGAGAAGGGGUGCUGAUCGCAAGAUCAGCCGCAGUGAAUAGGCCCAGGCGACUGUUUAUCAAAAACACAGGUCUCUGCAAAAUCGUAAGAUGACGUAUAGGGGCUGACGCCUGCCCGGUGCUGGAAGGUUAAAAGGAUGGGUUAGCUUCGGCGAAGCUCAGAAUUGAAGCCCCAGUAAACGGCGGCCGUAACUAUAACGGUCCUAAGGUAGCGAAAUUCCUUGUCGGGUAAGUUCCGACCCGCACGAAAGGCGUAACGAUCUGGGCACUGUCUCAACGAGAGACUCGGUGAAAUUAUAUUGUCCGUGAAGAUGCGGACUACCCGCGACAGGACGGAAAGACCCCAUGGAGCUUUACUGUAGCUUGAUAUUGAGUGUUUGUACAGCUUGUACAGGAUAGGUAGGAGCCAUAGAAACCGGAACGCUAGUUUCGGUGGAGGCGUUGGUGGGAUACUACCCUCGCUGUAUGACCACUCUAACCCGCACCACUAAUCGUGGUGGGAGACAGUGUCAGGUGGGCAGUUUGACUGGGGCGGUCGCCUCCUAAAAAGUAACGGAGGCGCCCAAAGGUUCCCUCAGAAUGGUUGGAAAUCAUUCGCAGAGUGUAAAGGCACAAGGGAGCUUGACUGCGAGACAGACAGGUCGAGCAGGGACGAAAGUCGGGCUUAGUGAUCCGGUGGUACCGUAUGGAAGGGCCAUCGCUCAACGGAUAAAAGCUACCCUGGGGAUAACAGGCUUAUCUCCCCCAAGAGUCCACAUCGACGGGGAGGUUUGGCACCUCGAUGUCGGCUCAUCGCAUCCUGGGGCUGUAGUCGGUCCCAAGGGUUGGGCUGUUCGCCCAUUAAAGCGGUACGCGAGCUGGGUUCAGAACGUCGUGAGACAGUUCGGUCCCUAUCCGUCGCGGGCGUAGGAAAUUUGAGAGGACCUGUCCUUAGUACGAGAGGACCGGGAUGGACAUACCUCUGGUGUACCAGUUGUGCCGCCAGGCGCAUCGCUGGGUAGCUACGUAUGGAUGUGAUAAACGCUGAAAGCAUCUAAGUGUGAAACACACCUCGAGAUGAGAUUUCCCAUUUCUUUAUGGAAGUAAGACCCCUGAAAGAUGAUCAGGUAGAUAGGUUAGAAGUGGCAGUGCGGUGACGCAUGAAGCGGACUAAUACUAAUCGGUCGAGGACUUAACCAA
This is a ribosomal RNA of 2921 nucleotides. It matches the Rfam family "Bacterial large subunit ribosomal RNA". The record is from Rfam.